GGCCAGUUAGCUCAGUUGUUUAGAGCGUUGUGCUGAUAACACCAAGGUCAGGGGUUCGAUCCUUGUUCGGUCC
RNAcentral lists this transfer RNA (73 nucleotides) under Apaloderma vittatum (bar-tailed trogon). It matches the Rfam family "tRNA". From Rfam's summary of the family: Transfer RNA (tRNA) molecules are approximately 80 nucleotides in length. Their secondary structure includes four short double-helical elements and three loops (D, anti-codon, and T loops). Further hydrogen bonds mediate the characteristic L-shaped molecular structure. tRNAs have two regions of fundamental functional importance: the anti-codon, which is responsible for specific mRNA codon recognition, and the 3' end, to which the tRNAs corresponding amino acid is attached (by aminoacyl-tRNA synthetases). tRNAs cope with the degeneracy of the genetic code in two manners: having more than one tRNA (with a specific anti-codon) for a particular amino acid; and 'wobble' base-pairing, i.e. permitting non-standard base-pairing at the 3rd anti-codon position. The record is from Rfam by way of RNAcentral. Lineage: Eukaryota; Metazoa; Chordata; Aves; Trogoniformes; Trogonidae.